UAAGGAAUAUUGGACAAUGGAGGCAACUCUGAUCCAGCCAUGCCGCGUGAAGGAAUAAGGCCCUAUGGGUUGUAAACUUCUUUUAGACGGGACAAAACCCCUUUACGUGUAAAGGGUUGAUGGUACUGUCAGAAUAAGCAUCGGCUAACUUCGUGCCAGCAGCCGCGGUAAUACGAAGGAUGCAAGCGUUAUCCGGAAUUAUAGGGUUUAAAGGGUGCGUAGGCGGACUAAUAAGUCAGUGGUGAAAGCCUGCAGCUUAACUGCAGAAUUGCCAUUGAUACUGUUAGUCUUGAGUACAGUUGAGGUAGGCGGAAUGUGUCAUGUAGCGGUGAAAUGCUUAGAUAUGACACAGAACACCGAUUGCGAAGGCAGCUUGCUAAGCUGUAACUGACGCUGAGGCACGAAAGCGUGGGGAGCAAACA
RNAcentral lists this ribosomal RNA (422 nucleotides) under uncultured bacterium. RNAcentral's name for it is "bacterial SSU rRNA". It matches the Rfam family "Bacterial small subunit ribosomal RNA", at positions 355 to 774 of the family's 1533-position model. The record is from RNAcentral.